GAUGAAGAACGCAGCGAAAUGCGAUACGUAAUGUGAAUUGCAGAAUUCAGUGAAUCAUCGAGUCUUUGAACGCAUAUUGUGCCCCCUGGUAUUCCGGGGGGCAUGCCUGUCCGAGCGUCAUUGCUGCCCUCAAGCACGGCUUGUGUGUUGGGCCUCCGUCCUCCUCCCGGGGGACGGGCCCGAAAGGCAGCGGCGGCACCGCGUCCGGUCCUCGAGCGUAUGGGGCUUCGUCACCCGCUCUUGUAGGCCCGGCCGGCGCUUGCCGACACAUCAAUCUUUUUUCCAGGUUGACCUCGGAUCAGGUAGGGAUACCCGCUGAACUUAAGCAUAUCAAUAAGCGGAGGA
RNAcentral lists this unclassified non-coding RNA (345 nucleotides) under soil metagenome. Its description in RNAcentral is "partial contains 5.8S ribosomal RNA, internal transcribed spacer 2, and large subunit ribosomal RNA". The stretch from base 1 to 120 matches the Rfam family "5.8S ribosomal RNA", at positions 35 to 154 of the family's 154-position model. The record is from RNAcentral.